RNAcentral lists this transfer RNA (76 nucleotides) under Gammaproteobacteria bacterium. Its description in RNAcentral is "tRNA-Trp". It matches the Rfam family "tRNA". Rfam says of the family: Transfer RNA (tRNA) molecules are approximately 80 nucleotides in length. Their secondary structure includes four short double-helical elements and three loops (D, anti-codon, and T loops). Lineage: Bacteria; Pseudomonadati; Pseudomonadota; Gammaproteobacteria. The record is from RNAcentral.
AGGCCAGUAGCUCAACUGGUAGAGCGGCGGUCUCCAAAACCGGAGGUUGGGGGUUCAAGUCCCUCCUGGCCUGCCA